GCGGCGCGGUGACCAUAGAGAUGCGCUGGCCGGAGCGCCCCUGGCAGGGCCGGUCUGGCUCCCUCUCGAUGGUGUCUCUGACGGAGAGGAGGACCUCGGGGCCAUUUGGGGUCCCCAGGUCCUGCCUGAACACACCUGGUUGUGGAGACACGGGCCCCAGGUCCAUUCCUGUCACCCCUGGCUGUGAGGACAUGGGGAACUCUGAGCUCCUGACCCCCUGGCUCUGGGGACAUGGGGGAUCCCAGGUUGUGACUCACACACUCGGUAUCCAGGUUCCAGCUGUGCAGGGCGAGUUCAGACAUGAUGCACAGCUCUGGAUUUGAAGAGGGAAUUUUCCUCCAAGAGCUUUAUUUGCUAAAAUACAUAAUUUGGUGAUACAAGCUUCCCUGGAAAGCAGUGAUUCCUUAAAGAGGGGGAGGAUGAUCAGGGAGGAGCAGGAUCCUUGCAGACACACAUGCUGGAAAGCAGAGCUGUAUUUUAAGGCAUCCAUAAAUAUUUUUCUGGGGAUGGAGUUUAGCAGCAGCUUGUUGGGGGAUGAGAGCAGGGUAAGUGCAGCUGACAGAAAAUACAGUCCCUGGGUGGGAAUUCAGAGGAAAGGAGCAGAUUAGGCUUUCAAAUUCCCAAAACAGGAUGAGGAACAGAGCUCCAUUUUCAUCCCAUUCCGGGAACUCAUGUUGAUGGGCUGCUCCUGCCCCAGGUUUCCUAUGGGGACCAGAGCUUGUGCUGGACACUUUGGAUGCUCUGGGCAGGGUGGGAGCCUCGGGAGAGUCUGUGGAGCUGAGCUCUGACUGAACUUUAUCCCUAUUUAAUCCAGCCAUCCCAGUGUAAGACUCAGCAAACAGCAUCUGGUGAUCUGUUUGUGCCAUGACACAUUUUCGUCUCUGUUUCCCUACCCAGCAAUGACAAGAGUUGGGAAUUUGGAGAGGUCAGAGAGCAGAGAACUGACAGUGUUGGGAAUGCAGCUCAGAGCUCUCAACGCCCUGGUUGGUGCCCUGCCAGCCCAACCACUCUGCUCUGAAUAAUUCCAUUUUAUUUGUCUGCUGCCAGGUUUUAGGGAGGUGUCAAUCUCCCACUUACAGGGACAUCACAGGCAGCAGCAGAAACUGCCUGUGGAAUGUGGGACUUAUUGUAACACUGGGCUUCUUUCUCCCUGGCAACAACGACAGGACAAGAGGAAAUGGCCUCAAGUUGCUCCAGGAGAGGUUUAAAUUGGAAUUAGGGGAAAUUUCUUCAUGGAAAAGGUUGUCAAGCAUUGGAACAAGCUGCCCAGGGCAGAGGUGGAGUCACCAUCCCUGGAAGUGUUCAGAAAACAUGUUGAUGUGGCACUUGAGGACUUGGGUGAGUGGUGACAAUGGUGGUGCUGGCUGAUGGUUGGACUUGGGGAUCUUUGAGGGUUUUUCCAACCUUGACCUGCGCAGAUUCACUUGAAGACAGAUUUUGUUCUCACCUACACCCCUCUGAGCCUCCAGUCAUCUCACACAGUGUGUGCUGGAGAGCCUCACCUAAUUAAAUCUCAGGAAAACAGGAGAGCACCUGGGGGCUGUGUGGGCUUCACUUGAGGGAUCUCGGGGCUGUCAAAUGAAAGAUUCCUCUCACAGCUCUUGCUCCUCACAGCAAACACCUCAGAGCAGAGCCAAAUUUACUCUGCACUUCACACAUCUGGGUAUUAACUGGCUGGGGUUGGAAAUUACUUCCAGGAGAAAAAAUGACUCACGGACUGGAGGGGGCUAGGGAUCUGCUUGCAUUACAGAUGCUAGCCCAUGGCAUCUUUUUUCCCUGCUCUUUUCCCUGCCUUUCAAAUUUUUGUCUCUUCUGCUUUCCUAAGGCAGCGCUGUCAUCCCACAUCACCGGGAAUGUUUCAUCACGAUUCCUUGAUGGUGUUAUGUCACAUCCAAAUCACUCUGUGAUGUCAUUGCCGCAGCCCUUGAGAUGUUUAGAGACUCUUAAUAUUCUGCCAACCACAGGACAGGCAAAAAACACAGGGCGGGGUGGACAAGCAAUGGUGCCUCGCAGUUCAUCCUCUCACCCAACAGGCCCCACUGUUGGGUUCUCCAGCUGAUGAGUCACACCAGAAGUGAAGGGUCAUUCCUGCAUCUUGCAGGAUGAUGGACAACUUCAUUAAGCUGGAGAGGAUUUUGUUCCUCUGGGGGAGUUCCUGGCACAAGACCUCCUGGGAGCAGCACGGUGCCAUGUGUCCGCUGACGUGCUACGGAAUCUGUGGCAGCAUCGGCUUCUGCGAGGGGAACAAGAAUCCUAAAAUUAUCCUUUAGUUACUUAGAAUAUAAAUAGAAUUCAAAUUGCU
Long non-coding RNA from Pseudopipra pipra, 2302 nucleotides. RefSeq lists it as uncharacterized. NCBI's taxonomy places the organism in Eukaryota, Metazoa, Chordata, Aves, Passeriformes, Pipridae. The transcript has 4 exons. The record is from RefSeq and is a predicted model, not a curated record.